UAAUAGUGAAUUAGCGUGCAAGAAAGAAAUGGAGCUUUUUUGGAUUACAAGUGAUAAGAGUAGGUGUAGGAGUAGGACUCAUUUAUUGAAUCUGGUGAUUUGCGUCGGAAGGUUGAGAAUAUAAAGAGCGUGUGAAACUAAGCCAUGUAAUCUAAAACUUUACCGAAACUUUCAGAUCUCGCCUAUUUACCGAUCCAAUUGCUAGUGCAGUAAUAGUUGCUUGAAUUUUCACCGGAUGAAUCUUCUCUUGAAUAAAACCGCCAAUAAGAGCUAGUCAAGUUGACUACUGAAAAUAUACGAUAUUGAAGAUGGCGUAUGUAGUGCUUGUAAUGGUCUGGUGGAUGGUGGAAGCUUUCCACUCUUACUUAGCAUUCAGUAUUACACAAAUGGAUUAAGGAGAAGCGGUAAACGAUUUCAUGAGGUUCGUUUAUUAUAAUGGGUUGAGUAACACGAUUCAAAUUGAGUCAAAAUAUUUUUCGAAGAUAAUCCGCCAAUUUUCUAUAACUCAUAUAUUAAUGCAUUCGUUCAAAUGAUAUUAAUACAUACGUGUAAAUAAGGGACAAAUAGGUAUAAAAAACACGGCGAUAAGAAAUGGAAUUAAUAUUUUGCAACAUGACAACUAGACAUUAUUUCGUCCGUAAACUUU
RNAcentral lists this long non-coding RNA (646 nucleotides) under Schizosaccharomyces pombe (fission yeast). RNAcentral's name for it is "centromeric lncRNA". Lineage: Eukaryota; Fungi; Ascomycota; Schizosaccharomycetes; Schizosaccharomycetales; Schizosaccharomycetaceae. The record is from RNAcentral.